Brassica napus (rape) is the source of this 297-nucleotide long non-coding RNA. RefSeq lists it as uncharacterized. Lineage: Eukaryota; Viridiplantae; Streptophyta; Magnoliopsida; Brassicales; Brassicaceae. The record is from RefSeq and is a predicted model, not a curated record. The transcript is spliced from 3 exons.
GUGAACAAUGAAACGGAAACAACAAAUUCUCAAAUCUCAAUGUUCUACUCUCUCCCACACGUCCUUGUGGCCACAAAAGUCUAGUUGUUAAUGGACCCCUUGAAAGCAUUUCUUCUGAUCUUGCUUUAGAUACAUUAGCUGAAGUGUGCAGGUGGAACUCUGUGCAUAAGUAGUUUGGAGGGGAUGUGAUAGAGAAUGAUUUUGUGGGCAAUGGCAGUUUUCUUAUGCUUUUUAUUUGUAUUUUGAAUGUGUAAAAUUUAAUAUUUUGAUUUUAUAAAGUUUUACGAGAUUGAAACA